CUUCUGUGUCCCUUGCUGAGGGGACGUCUCCAUUAUAGUACUGGUCAUCACUGUGAUAGAACCGUGCUCCAAUGAUCUUGCUGCACUCAUAAUGUCAAGGUAAUUCCGAUUAGCCAAUCCAAUAUAUUGAUUGAUAAAAUAGGAAGGCAGAAAUGUUGGUGUCUUAUAUGUUCAACUUUGGAUGAGAAUGCUUACUUAUUGCAUGUGAAAUUAGUGCCUGCGCAGGUUCCCUUCCAUUUAGUUGGUGGAGAACUGAAACCUGUGUCGUUGAAACUCGGAUGCUCUGGCCAGACUCCUAUGGAGAUGGACAGCAGAGGAAAGCAAGAAUUUCAGACAAAUAUUCCUCAUGAAAUAGAAACAACUUGUGAUGUUAGUUACCACUAACCAGUGUCAAGGAGGCCGAUAACAACAUCUGAUUCAGGUGCUGCUUGCAGCUUGUCUGUGGUAAGAUUCAAGAAGUCCCAAGACCUCGUAGUGUGAAGCUUGUGCUUGCGGCUUGGAUUUACUGAAACCACUCCUUCCAUUUCUGCAGCAAUAUAUUUUGUUAAAACGAAUACUGUCUUAACACUUUGGUUGAUUUUGUUGCUCCGAGAUAGGUUAACUCACCUGAAAUUCUGGUGGCUUCCUCGUCUGUGAGCUUGGCCGCAAAUCCAUUGAAACUUCUUCCAUAACUGUGGACCAGCGAGUCUUUGGCUGCUGAGGCACUGAAUCAUGAAACAGAGAUGUUUUCUAGUUAAAGAUGCUUGGAAGGAUCAAGUCUCCUCUCCACUAGUAAGGUAGAUUAAGCUAAAACUUAGAAUAAUCACGAUUCAACGUUUACAUUUCACUUUUAGCAUAAUACUUGCUAGUUUGCAAUUAGUUUAGUCACUUCAUCUGUAUUGCAUUAUACCCUCAGUCAAAAUAUUAUUGGAUUCAUGUUAUCUUUGGUAACAAACCUUCCAAGUACUCUAUGCAACAUUCCGUGAUGCUUGGAAACAACCGAUACACCUUCUUCAGGUCGAUCUCCCAUGUAGACUACAUGAAGCUGCAAAGAGAACAGCUAUUCAGAGAGAGGGAGGGAGAGAGAAAGAGAGAGUUGAGGAAUUCGGCAUACCUUCCUUUCUAGGCAGUGGCAGUUGAGCACAAGGGCUGCAAGCAGCAAAG
Molecule: long non-coding RNA, 1143 nt
Filed under: Salvia miltiorrhiza (redroot sage)
Lineage: Eukaryota; Viridiplantae; Streptophyta; Magnoliopsida; Lamiales; Lamiaceae
Description: long non-coding RNA (SMIL_LNC008013)
Source: RNAcentral